This is a long non-coding RNA of Bufo bufo (common toad), 868 nucleotides long. RefSeq lists it as uncharacterized. The transcript has 3 exons. Lineage: Eukaryota; Metazoa; Chordata; Amphibia; Anura; Bufonidae. The record is from RefSeq and is a predicted model, not a curated record.
AGACUUCCAGCAGAUUGUCUCUGAUCUCUAGUCUGUUCACAACCACAUCCCCUGACAGACAAGUCACAUAUACAGCAUACUAUUCCCUAUUAUAAAGGCCCAUUAUGUGUCUGACUACCAGACAUAGACAUCGGCCUACAUUUAUAAGGGUGCUAGUGUUUUACCUGUGCUAAGCAACUGUCACGGGCGGCGUUGUUCACCGUGACACGUUAGCCGUGCAUACUUGUUGCCAUGGGCAACGUGUCUUUGCUGCAUGUUUGUGCCUCCUCCUUUCUCCUGGGUCCUUUCCUGUCUGGUGCUGGAGGGGUUAACUACCUGGCUGGGUGUGGCCACUUGGUGUUCAUCCGUUCUUCGUUGUUGCCGUGGCAGGUAAGUGCGGGUUGUUUCUGGGCUCUUACCUGCCAAUUCAGUAGCUGUGCACAGCCUGCUUUUCCCUGCAUCUAGGCCAGGUGAGACUCCUGUUCAUCCGUGUCUUUCCCUAUCUUGAGGGAUUAUCAGGGUGACUCAGGGUCCUAGGUUCCUGGGUUUGAGCCGUCCUACCAUCCAGGUCCGCUCAUACGGGUAGGAAUCAGUUUUCUGUUCCCUUAUCCCGGCAUCCAGGCCUAGUUGUAUUCCCAACGGUAAGAACUUGUAGCUCAAAACCCAAAAUGGCCCUCCUCCUUGCUUCAAGAGGUAAAGGACAUAGUUGUUUCUGCUUGAUGUCCUAUAAACAGCUCGACUGGUGGGUGCAGCUGCAUCUGACUGGUGGAAGUGCGCAAGAAACUACUGUUGACGUCUUAUGAACACAACUUUUCCUGAUUCUAAAGGUGGCCUUUCACCUUGUAUAGCAGCUUUGCCUCUCAGUCCCUUCAUUCACAUGUUUGGCUUG